This 403-nucleotide ribosomal RNA is filed under the name bacterium. Its description in RNAcentral is "partial 16S ribosomal RNA". It matches the Rfam family "Bacterial small subunit ribosomal RNA", at positions 355 to 776 of the family's 1533-position model. RNAcentral also lists the same sequence under 1 other name. The record is from RNAcentral.
UGGGGAAUAUUGCACAAUGGGGGAAACCCUGAUGCAGCGACGCCGCGUGAACGAAGAAGGUAUUCGUAUCGUAAAGUUCUGUCCUAUGUGAAGAUAAUGACAGUACCAUAGAAGAAAGCUCCGGCUAAAUACGUGCCAGCAGCCGCGGUAAUACGUAUGGAGCGAGCGUUGUCCGGAAUUAUUGGGCGUAAAGGGUACGCAGGCGGUUUAAUAAGUCGAAUGUUAAAGAUCGGGGCUCAACCCCGUAAAGCAUUGGAAACUGAUAAACUUGAGUAGUGGAGAGGAAAGUGGAAUUCCUAGUGUAGUGGUGAAAUACGUAGAUAUUAGGAGGAAUACCAGUAGCGAAGGCGACUUUCUGGACACAAACUGACGCUGAGGUACGAAAGCGUGGGGAGCAAACAGG